Molecule: ribosomal RNA, 922 nt
Filed under: uncultured marine bacterium
Lineage: Bacteria
Description: bacterial SSU rRNA
Rfam family: Bacterial small subunit ribosomal RNA
Source: RNAcentral
AGAGUUUGAUCCUGGCUCAGGACGAACGCUGGCGGUGUGCUUAACACAUGCAAGUGGCGCGACGAACCAGAGCUUGCUCUGGGGCAAAGCCGCGAACGGGUGAGUAACACGUGGGUAACCUGCCCCGAUGACUGGGACAACCCGGGGAAACCCGGGCUAAUACCGGAUGAUGCAUCCCGGCUUAAGCCGGUAUGUCAAAGGUAGCUUCGGCUUCCGCAUUGGGAGGGGCCCGCGGCCCAUUAGCUUGUUGGUGGGGUAAUGGCCUACCAAGGCAACGAUGGGUAGCUGGUCUGAGAGGACGAUCAGCCACACUGGGACUGAGACACGGCCCAGACUCCUACGGGAGGCAGCAGUGGGGAAUCUUGCGCAAUGCGCGAAAGCGUGACGCAGCAACACCGCGUGAGGGAAGACGGCCUUAGGGUUGUAAACCUCUUUCAGUUGGGACGAAGGUUCGACGGUGAAUAGCCGGCCGGACUGACGGUACCUUCAGAAGAAGCUCCGGCUAACUACGUGCCAGCAGCCGCGGUAAUACGUAGGGAGCGAGCGUUGUCCGGAAUCAUUGGGCGUAAAGAGCGCGUAGGUGGAUUGGUCAGUCUGCUGUGAAAGUCAAAGGCUCAACCUUUGAAAGCCGGUGGAUACUGCCAAUCUAGAGUGCGGAAGAGGCGAGUGGAAUUCCUGGUGUAGCGGUGGAAUGCGCAGAUAUCAGGAAGAACACCGAUAGCGAAGGCAACUCGCUGGGACGCUACUGACACUGAGCGCGAAAGCGUGGGGAGCAAACAGGAUUAGAUACCCUGGUAGUCCACGCCGUAAACGAUGGGUACUAGGUGUGGGAGGUGUCGACUCCUCCCCGUACCGCAGCUAAGCACUAAGUACCCGGCCUGGGGAAUACGGCCACCAGGCUAAAACUCAAGGAAAUGAAGAA